UCCUGUCCAAGCUGUCAUCAGUCCUACCACUGUCCGUCUGAGGCUCCCUUCUCACCUUCGGGUCCAUCCCGUUUUUCAUGUUUCCCAAGUCAAGCCUGUGUCUUUCAGCCCGUUGUGCCCUCCGUCCAGACCCCCUCCACCCGCCCGGGUCGUUGACGGCCACCCUGCCUUCACUGUGCGCCGCAUUGUGGAUGUCCGCCCCCGGGGUCGGGGUUGCCAGUAUCUGGUUGAUUGGGAGGGUUAUGGUCCGGAGCAGCGGUCCUGGGUUCCGCGCUCCUUCAUUCUGGAUCCCACGCUCAUCUCUGACUUUGAGCGCCGUUCGGCGUCUUCUUCUACUCGUCCGCCAGGUGGCGUCCCUUGAGGGGGGGGGGGUACUGUUGGGCUCACUGGAUUGUGUGCUGAGCUGUGCUAGGGUUCUUUCUUACCUUUUCCUCCUUAGACUCCAGUCCUGACGAGCCUCCAGCUGGUUCCAAUUGGACGCAAUCAGGGAGCAGUAUUUAGAGGAGUGGAUUCCCUGGGACGGACGCCAGUCGGUUAAAGUUCCACACAGUGGUAACCUACCUGCUAGCUCUCCUAAGACUGAACAAGAUAGUUUUGACUUAAGCUUACCUCCGUGUCCUCCUUCUCUCUCCUAGAAGCCUUGCUGUUUCCAAGCCGGUCUUCCUCCCAGUCUUCCUGGAUCCUUCCCUCGACUGCUCACCUGCCUGUCCACCCUCUGGAGCUCUCAGGUCGAAGCCCUCCAUCUCCGCCAAAGACUCAAUCUCUGUGGGCUCAUCCAACCUCCCCUCCAGCUGCUCCGCUCUCCAAGAACUUUCCAGAUGAAGCCGCAGUAAUCCGAACCACCACGCCAGGCUGAACUUAACUCUGUAAAACUUUUCAAUAAACAAUC
Molecule: long non-coding RNA, 889 nt
Organism: Cyprinodon tularosa
Lineage: Eukaryota; Metazoa; Chordata; Actinopteri; Cyprinodontiformes; Cyprinodontidae
Exons: 2
Source: RefSeq, a predicted model, not a curated record